Molecule: ribosomal RNA, 3088 nt
Filed under: Salmonella enterica
Lineage: Bacteria; Pseudomonadati; Pseudomonadota; Gammaproteobacteria; Enterobacterales; Enterobacteriaceae
Also listed under: 1 other name
Description: 23S ribosomal RNA
Rfam family: Bacterial large subunit ribosomal RNA
Source: RNAcentral
GGUUAAGCGACUAAGCGUACACGGUGGAUGCCCUGGCAGUCAGAGGCGAUGAAGGACGUGCUAAUCUGCGAUAAGCGCCGGUAAGGUGAUAUGAACCGUUAUAACCGGCGAUUUCCGAAUGGGGAAACCCAGUGUGAUUCGUCACACUAUCAUUAACUGAAUCCAUAGGUUAAUGAGGCGAACCGGGGGAACUGAAACAUCUAAGUACCCCGAGGAAAAGAAAUCAACCGAGAUUCCCCCAGUAGCGGCGAGCGAACGGGGAGGAGCCCAGAGCCUGAAUCAGCAUGUGUGUUAGUGGAAGCGUCUGGAAAGGCGCGCGAUACAGGGUGACAGCCCCGUACACAAAAGCGCAUGUGCUGUGAGCUCGAUGAGUAGGGCGGGACACGUGGUAUCCUGUCUGAAUAUGGGGGGACCAUCCUCCAAGGCUAAAUACUCCUGACUGACCGAUAGUGAACCAGUACCGUGAGGGAAAGGCGAAAAGAACCCCGGCGAGGGGAGUGAAAAAGAACCUGAAACCGUGUACGUACAAGCAGUGGGAGCCCCACCACUAAGCCAGUGGUGAACUCCACAUACGCAUCCUUUGCUGAGGAUACGGUUAACGGAGCGAAAGCGACGUUCAACCUCAAAAGAAGCAGAGGGGGCUUAGUGGUGGGGUGACUGCGUACCUUUUGUAUAAUGGGUCAGCGACUUAUAUUCUGUAGCAAGGUUAACCGUAUAGGGGAGCCGGAGGGAAACCGAGUCUUAAUUGGGCGUUAAGUUGCAGGGUAUAGACCCGAAACCCGGUGAUCUAGCCAUGGGCAGGUUGAAGGUUGGGUAACACUAACUGGAGGACCGAACCGACUAAUGUUGAAAAAUUAGCGGAUGACCUGUGGCUGGGGGUGAAAGGCCAAUCAAACCGGGAGAUAGCUGGUUCUCCCCGAAAGCUAUUUAGGUAGCGCCUCGUGAAUUCAUCUUCGGGGGUAGAGCACUGUUUCGGCUAGGGGGUCAUCCCGACUUACCAACCCGAUGCAAACUGCGAAUACCGGAGAAUGUUAUCACGGGAGACACACGGCGGGUGCUAACGUCCGUCGUGAAGAGGGAAACAACCCAGACCGCCAGCUAAGGUCCCAAAGUCAUGGUUAAGUGGGAAACGAUGUGGGAAGGCCCAGACAGCCAGGAUGUUGGCUUAGAAGCAGCCAUCAUUUAAAGAAAGCGUAAUAGCUCACUGGUCGAGUCGGCCUGCGCGGAAGAUGUAACGGGGCUAAACCAUGCACCGAAGCUGCGGCAGCGAACGUAUCACUUAAAGCGAUUCAGCGGGUUACGAUUGACGGAGCGAAGCGACGUCAAAGCGUAUACAAAGUCGAGUCGGUUUAAGGAUACGUUCGUUGGGUAGGGGAGCGUUCUGUAAGCCUGUGAAGGUGUGUCGUGAGGCAUGCUGGAGGUAUCAGAAGUGCGAAUGCUGACAUAAGUAACGAUAAAGCGGGUGAAAAGCCCGCUCGCCGGAAGACCAAGGGUUCCUGUCCAACGUUAAUCGGGGCAGGGUGAGUCGACCCCUAAGGCGAGGCCGAAAGGCGUAGUCGAUGGGAAACGGGUUAAUAUUCCCGUACUUGGUGUUACUGCGAAGGGGGGACGGAGAAGGCUAUGUUGGCCGGGCGACGGUUGUCCCGGUUUAAGCGUGUAGGUGUGUGUUCCAGGUAAAUCCGGUUCACUUUAACACUGAGGCGUGAUGACGAGGCACUACGGUGCUGAAGCAACAAAUGCCCUGCUUCCAGGAAAAGCCUCUAAGCAUCAGGUAACAUCAAAUCGUACCCCAAACCGACACAGGUGGUCAGGUAGAGAAUACCAAGGCGCUUGAGAGAACUCGGGUGAAGGAACUAGGCAAAAUGGUGCCGUAACUUCGGGAGAAGGCACGCUGACACGUAGGUGAAGUGAUUUACUCACGGAGCUGAAGUCAGUCGAAGAUACCAGCUGGCUGCAACUGUUUAUUAAAAACACAGCACUGUGCAAACACGAAAGUGGACGUAUACGGUGUGACGCCUGCCCGGUGCCGGAAGGUUAAUUGAUGGGGUCAGCGCAAGCGAAGCUCCUGAUCGAAGCCCCGGUAAACGGCGGCCGUAACUAUAACGGUCCUAAGGUAGCGAAAUUCCUUGUCGGGUAAGUUCCGACCUGCACGAAUGGCGUAAUGAUGGCCAGGCUGUCUCCACCCGAGACUCAGUGAAAUUGAACUCGCUGUGAAGAUGCAGUGUACCCGCGGCAAGACGGAAAGACCCCGUGAACCUUUACUAUAGCUUGACACUGAACAUUGAGCCUUGAUGUGUAGGAUAGGUGGGAGGCUUUGAAGUGUGGACGCCAGUCUGCAUGGAGCCGACCUUGAAAUACCACCCUUUAAUGUUUGAUGUUCUAACGUGGACCCGUAAUCCGGGUUGCGGACAGUGUCUGGUGGGUAGUUUGACUGGGGCGGUCUCCUCCUAAAGAGUAACGGAGGAGCACGAAGGUUGGCUAAUCCUGGUCGGACAUCAGGAGGUUAGUGCAAUGGCAUAAGCCAGCUUGACUGCGAGCGUGACGGCGCGAGCAGGUGCGAAAGCAGGUCAUAGUGAUCCGGUGGUUCUGAAUGGAAGGGCCAUCGCUCAACGGAUAAAAGGUACUCCGGGGAUAACAGGCUGAUACCGCCCAAGAGUUCAUAUCGACGGCGGUGUUUGGCACCUCGAUGUCGGCUCAUCACAUCCUGGGGCUGAAGUAGGUCCCAAGGGUAUGGCUGUUCGCCAUUUAAAGUGGUACGCGAGCUGGGUUUAGAACGUCGUGAGACAGUUCGGUCCCUAUCUGCCGUGGGCGCUGGAGAACUGAGGGGGGCUGCUCCUAGUACGAGAGGACCGGAGUGGACGCAUCACUGGUGUUCGGGUUGUCAUGCCAAUGGCACUGCCCGGUAGCUAAAUGCGGAAGAGAUAAGUGCUGAAAGCAUCUAAGCACGAAACUUGCCCCGAGAUGAGUUCUCCCUGAGACUUAGAGUCUCCUGAAGGAACGUUGAAGACGACGACGUUGAUAGGCCGGGUGUGUAAGCGCAGCGAUGCGUUGAGCUAACCGGUACUAAUGAACCGUGAGGCUUAACCUU